UACAGAGGGUGCGAGCGUUAAUCGGAAUUAUUGGGCGUAAAGCGUGCGUAGACGGUCAUGUAAGUCGGAUGUGAAAGCCCCGGGCUCAACCUGGGAAUUGCAUUCGAGACUGCAUGGCUUGGGUGCGGAAGAGGGAAGCGGAAUUUCCGGUGUAGCGGUGAAAUGCGUAGAUAUCGGAAGGAACACCAGUGGCGAAAGCGGCUUCCUGGUCCGACACCGACGUUCAGGCACGAAAGCGUGGGGAGCAAACAGG
Molecule: ribosomal RNA, 253 nt
Filed under: uncultured bacterium
Lineage: Bacteria
Description: partial 16S ribosomal RNA
Rfam family: Bacterial small subunit ribosomal RNA
Source: RNAcentral